This 253-nucleotide ribosomal RNA is filed under the name uncultured bacterium. Its description in RNAcentral is "partial 16S ribosomal RNA". It matches the Rfam family "Bacterial small subunit ribosomal RNA", at positions 524 to 776 of the family's 1533-position model. The record is from RNAcentral.
GACGAACCGUGCAAACGUUGUUCGGAAUCACUGGGCUUAAAGGGCGCGUAGGCGGAUCCAUCAGUCUGUGGUGAAAUCCUCCAGCUUAACUGGAGAAGUGCCAUGGAUACUUUGGGUCUCGAGGAGGAUAGGGGCAUCUGGAACUGCCGGUGGAGCGGUGAAAUGCGUUGAUAUCGGCAGGAACUCCGGUGGCGAAGGCGAGAUGCUGGAUCCUUUCUGACGCUGAGGCGCGAAAGCCAGGGGAGCAAACGGG